GACGAACGCUGGCGGCGUGCCUAAUACAUGCAAGUCGAACGCUUCUUUCCUCCCGAGUGCUUGCACUCAAUUGGAAAGAGGAGUGGCGGACGGGUGAGUAACACGUGGGUAACCUACCCAUCAGAGGGGGAUAACACUUGGAAACAGGUGCUAAUACCGCAUAACAGUUUAUGCCGCAUGGCAUAAGAGUGAAAGGUGCUUUCGGGUGUCGUUGAUGGAUGGACCCGCGGUGCAUUAGCUAGUUGGUGAGGUAACGGCUCACCAAGGCCACGAUGCAUAGCCGACCUGAGAGGGUGAUCGGCCACACUGGGACUGAGACACGGCCCAGACUCCUACGGGAGGCAGCAGUAGGGAAUCUUCGGCAAUGGACGAAAGUCUGACCGAGCAACGCCGCGUGAGUGAAGAAGGUUUUCGGAUCGUAAAACUCUGUUGUUAGAGAAGAACAAGGACGUUAGUAACUGAACGUCCCCUGACGGUAUCUAACCAGAAAGCCACGGCUAACUACGUG
This 508-nucleotide ribosomal RNA is filed under the name uncultured bacterium. RNAcentral's name for it is "partial 16S ribosomal RNA". It matches the Rfam family "Bacterial small subunit ribosomal RNA", at positions 28 to 507 of the family's 1533-position model. The record is from RNAcentral.